RNAcentral lists this ribosomal RNA (297 nucleotides) under uncultured bacterium. RNAcentral's name for it is "partial 16S ribosomal RNA". It matches the Rfam family "Bacterial small subunit ribosomal RNA", at positions 335 to 644 of the family's 1533-position model. The record is from RNAcentral.
CACCUACGGGAGGCAGCAGUCGAGAAUCAUUCACAAUGGGGGAAACCCUGAUGGUGCGACGCCGCGUGGGGGAAUGAAGGUCUUCGGAUUGUAAACCCCUGUCAUGUGGGAGCAAAUUAAAAAGAUAGUACCACAAGAGGAAGAGACGGCUAACUCUGUGCCAGCAGCCGCGGUAAUACAGAGGUCUCAAGCGUUGUUCGGAAUCACUGGGCGUAAAGCGUGCGUAGGCAGUUUCGUAAGGCGUGUGUGAAAGGCGCGGGCUCAACCGGCGGCCGGCACAUGAUACCGCGCGACUUG